UAGAGGAUCUUUGGCCAAGUCUGACAUCACAACAGGGCUUUGUAAUCUUAAUUGAGAGAGAGGAAGUGGGAAGGCAAGAAGAAGAAAGAGAGAAACCCAUGUGGAGAGCAGAGAGCAGAAAUGCAAGAAGGAGAAGAACGAUAAUGGCGUCUUCAUGAGACCCCAGAAAGUUAGUAAGUUAAAAAGGAAAAUUGGAAAAAAG
This 202-nucleotide unclassified non-coding RNA is filed under the name Hevea brasiliensis (rubber tree). The record is from RNAcentral. Lineage: Eukaryota; Viridiplantae; Streptophyta; Magnoliopsida; Malpighiales; Euphorbiaceae.